AGUGUCCCUCCUUCCUUCCCUCCCCUCCCGCGCUUCCCGCCCCGCC
RNAcentral lists this non-coding RNA (46 nucleotides) under Sexangularia sp. CB-2014. The record is from RNAcentral. Lineage: Eukaryota; Tubulinea; Elardia; Arcellinida.